GAGUUUGAUCCUGGCUCAGGAUGAACGCUAGCGGCAGGCUUAACACAUGCAAGUCGAGGGGCAGCGAGGGUAGCAAUACCUGUCGGCGACCGGCGCAAGGGUGCGUAACGCGUGAGCAACAUGCCCGUAUCAGGGGGAUAAUCCAGGGAAACUUGGUCUAAUACCGCAUAAUAAUCAUUUGGGGCAUCUUGGAUGAUUUAAAAUUUCGAUGGAUACGGAUUGGCUCGCGUGACAUUAGCUGGAUGGAGAGGUAACGGCUCACCAUGGCUACGAUGUCUAGGGGUUCUGAGAGGAAGGUCCCCCACACUGGAACUGAGACACGGUCCAGACUCCUACGGGAGGCAGCAGUGAGGAAUAUUGGACAAUGGAUGGAAAUCUGAUCCAGCCAUGCCGCGUGCAGGAAGACGGCCCUAUGGGUUGUAAACUGCUUUUGUAUGGGAGCAAUAAGGGCUACGUGUAGCCUGAUGAGAGUACCAUACGAAUAAGGACCGGCUAACUCCGUGCCAGCAGCCGCGGUAAUACGGAGGGUCCGAGCGUUAUCCGGAUUUAUUGGGUUUAAAGGGUGCGUAGGCGGUUUUAUAAGUCAGCGGUGAAAUUUUCCGGCUCAACCGGGAUACUGCCGUUGAUACUGUAAGGCUAGGAUAUGGUUGCUGUGGGUGGAAUGUGUGGUGUAGCGGUGAAAUGCUUAGAGAUCACACAGAAUAUCGAUUGCGAAGGCAGCUCACAAAGCCAUUAUUGACGCUGAGGCACGAAAGUGUGGGGAUCAAACAGGAUUAGAUACCCUGGUAGUCCACACUGUAAACGAUGAUAACUCGCUGUCGGCGAUAUAAAGUCGGUGGCCAAGCGAAAGCGAUAAGUUAUCCACCUGGGGAGUACGACCGCAAGGUUGAAACUCAAAGGAAUUGACGGGGGCCCGCACAAGCGGA
RNAcentral lists this ribosomal RNA (926 nucleotides) under uncultured bacterium. RNAcentral's name for it is "bacterial SSU rRNA". It matches the Rfam family "Bacterial small subunit ribosomal RNA", at positions 9 to 933 of the family's 1533-position model. The record is from RNAcentral.